AAAAACGUUCUUAUAUUAUGGGACGGAGGGAGUAGCUCUUAUAUGCAGGAACACAAAUAAUUCUUUCCAAUAGCAAAAGCAUGGCAGGAAGCAAAGCAACCAAGAUCUGGCAAUAAUCUACGCUUAUUACAAGAAAAAUUAAUCAGUAGAAACAUGCAUACAGCAGGUUAACAACUACCAUAUGCAGAAUUGCAUAAUUUUGAUUUCAAUUCUCAGCAAGGAUUGGUCCAUGAUCUACAACUCUGAAAAACUCAGUGCAAAGCAGAGUGGACAACCACUCAGUUACAGGGGUUUUGGCAUCAAGCAAGACUUGCUCUCUCCUCAUAAUCUGGCCACUUGGACAUGAGCAUCUUCGGUGCUGGUGCUUCUUGCUCAUCGAGGUUUAUGUGCCGGAAAGAUGACACCAAACAAAGUCUGAAUCAGUUUGAGCACAAGACCGUGUAAGUCUCACACAUCCAUACUUAAAAUAUUUGCUCCUGAGCUAAUCUAAUGAGUAAAAAUACCAUUUCACUAGCAGGAAGAGAACUGUACACUGCAUAUAGUCAUUUCUACACUUUACUUAAUAUCAUCACUAAACUUGAAUAACAAUUUGAUCAGGUAUAAUUUCUGCCAUAGGGGGGGAUGAAAUUUCCUACAACGUUUUCUCAAAUAUGUGAGUGGAAAGAUGAUUCGAAUGCAAUAUAACCAGCUAAAUCAUUUGGGUAUUGUUACUAUCUAGAACGAACAUUAUAUCUAUUUAUGGGUGAUUCAUUUCUGUAAGGGUCAAAAAACAGACAAUUUGUACUAACAAACUAGCUCGGUCACUUGAUCAGGAUGUUCAAUGAAGAGUGGUAUGUUUGAUGAGGUCCCAUUUCACUCUUACUCCAAUGUACUCCCUCCAUUCCUAAAUAUAAGACCUUUUAGAGAUUUCAAUAUGGACUACAUACGGAGCAAAAUAAGUGAAUCCACACUCUAAAAUAUGUCUAUAUACAUCUGUAUGUAGUCCGUAUUUAAAUCUCUAAAAGGGCUUAUAUUUAGAAACGGAGGGAGUACACAACAACGUAAUAGUUUCCUACAUCUACAUAACAAAGCAUACAUAGUAAGGAGAAAGAAAUGGUUUUAAAUUUUUUAAAUAGAGUUUAUGACUAUUCUAUAAUGGGGAUUAAUAGUGUAAACAAAUAAUUUUUUAAAAAAUGGAGUUUAAUGGCUAGCAUUUGAGCAUCACAAUUUUUUUUAAAUGGAGUUUUAUGACUAGCAUUGGCCUUUUUGGACCGUGUGUUCUCACCUGAUAGUGUUGGUACACAGUUUGCGAUUUUUGGAACUAUGUGCUCUCCUAAAGGUGAUAUUGCACUACUUCCCUCCAUUUCAGAUCGAGAUGAACCAACAGAACGGCGGGGGCGAGCUUAGUAGUUGACGAGCUGCGAUUAUCCAGCAUACCCAAACCAGACAUUGUGUUCUACGCCAAAAUCCAAAUAGCUGAUUGUUUAGUCACCUUGAUAUAACAAAAUGAGACAUCAGCACAAUUACAAGACUGCAAAGUUAAGGUUGCAAAUUAAAGAGAUGCACACAAGCAGACUUAUUUUUACAUACAAAAGGUAACAAAGUUGUAGUAUUUUUUACAUCCAACGUGUUAUUACAACUGAAUGAGGAAGAGCAAAGAGCUAACACAAUAGUUUCACUACAUCAAAACUAGCAUGAUUUUUGGUUUCAGUGCCAUUACUGGACAAAUAGAUUGUAAACUCUCAAAAACCAGUGAAGUGGUACAUAUUGCAAGUGUGUAAUAAAUUCCAGUCUUGUGCUGACAAGCACUUAACUUGCAAAUAUUUUAAUAGGUAGAUGAGAUUAGUUCGUUCUCAUGUACAGUUCCAGCAAAGUCAACGAAGUUUCACAAUAUCAAAUUGGUCGAAAUUCUAGUCCAAGCAAAAUAUAGCAAGCUGACUGGGAAUAACAAAAAACCCCUAUAUAUCCAAUUGGAAGAUAGUUACCCACUGAAUGAUCUUUUAUUCGCAAAAAUGAUACUACAGUCUAUUUAGUUUUGAUGCUCAAGUAUGAUUUUCUUAUUGCAACAACUAUAAUAAGGCGGCCACCAGAGUUCUCAUGUACAGUUGGGUUAGUAAUAACGUUUUCUACAAUUUCAUAUAAUGGAUCAUGCUUAAUAAGGCGGCCACCAGAGUUCAAGAUUCUUAUCUUCUACUACUAUAGUCUAUAGUACACAAAUACUUGAAUUUUGAUUAGCUAUCCACCAAGACUCGCGAGCAAUUAUACACCAUUGGUUUGUUCCAGAAGAUGAAUAUCCAUCGUCUGCCAGUAUGCAACCCAAGUGAUCCAACGGAUGACAUUUAUGGGAUUCGCUCCGUACGGACACGUGCCAAAACGACUGCAUGACUUUUCUGGAAUCCUCGCGGCUCCAAAUGCGCCCACGCACAAUAUCAAUGGGUUUGUUCUUGUGCAAAAGUCUGCUAUUUAAGAUCUGUUGUGGCUAUUCUGAACUUCACUGCUCUCAGUGAUUGGAGGAUCGGGCUAUAAUUAACCCUCACAAAUCAACGGGUAAACAACUAGUACCUUCCACAAAUCAAUCGCAUCUGCGCCGCCAAAAAAAUAGUAUCUACACUGAACUUCCAACGGAUUGGACAAUAAAGUUUUGUACAUCUUCAACAGGAAUUUAUAACACUGAAAAGAAUUGUAGUAUGCAACGUUGGCAGCGUCUGAGUAAGCCAUAUCUUUUCAAAAAAAAAAAAACAGUGAGCGAGGGCAGAAAACGUGAAUUGCCCGUGCCUUCUACUAGUACGAUUGAACAAGAAAAAGGUCAUCUGGCUGAUUCUUAUGUGACAAAUCUGGGAGGGGGAGCCUUGUUGAGUUGAGCAAUUGGGACAUACAUACAGGGAGUUCGGUUUGUUGCAGUGGCAAUGAUGCCUGCAAAUCUGUAGCGCUAGAGCAGUAUCAGCCGCCGAAUACAGUACCUCCAGAUCUUGUCGAUUGCAAUGGGUAAGACAAAUGGUAGAUCGAGGUUGUCCUCGGCGUUUGGGGAACUGUACCUGGAGAUUGGCUCGGACAGCGUCGCGGCGCAGCACAGGAGAGGUCCGCCCGGGCAGCCCGACCGCCGGCGACGAGACGACCAAGAUUCUUCCAGUAGCCAAGGCCGCCCAGCUAGGUACAUCUAGGGGCAGAAAUGGAAAGCUUCCUCCAGUAGCCAAGGUCGCCCAUCUAGGUACAGGAUCUACACCGCCGUCGCCAUUGGCAAGCCAUUAGGGUUGGGGAUUUGUUGGACCUCAGCCGCUGCGGCUUGAUUUGGAAGGAGAUGACCGGUAGAAAAUAAGAGGAGAUCGGGAGCAAAAUAAAUGGAAAUGAGGGACUAUUUUACAAAGAUGAGCGCACAGAUCCCUCACUAAAAUAUGGGCCAUCCAUGUUGGAUCCGACGGUCUAGGACGGUUUUUUCUAUUUUUGUACCACAAGCGCGUUUUCUAUUGUAGUCACUCCCAACUCAUAACCCAGCGAUACAUU
This 3480-nucleotide long non-coding RNA is filed under the name Triticum aestivum (bread wheat). Its description in RNAcentral is "long non-coding RNA (TAES_LNC011700)". Lineage: Eukaryota; Viridiplantae; Streptophyta; Magnoliopsida; Poales; Poaceae. The record is from RNAcentral.